Molecule: ribosomal RNA, 252 nt
Filed under: uncultured bacterium
Lineage: Bacteria
Description: partial 16S ribosomal RNA
Rfam family: Bacterial small subunit ribosomal RNA
Source: RNAcentral
CGGGGUGAGUAACGCGUGGGUAACCUGCCUCAUACAGGGGGAUAACGGUUAGAAAUGACUGCUAAUACCGCAUAAGCGCACAAAACCGCAUGGUUUGGUGUGAAAAACUGAGGUGGUAUGAGAUGGACCUGCGUCUGAUUAGCUAGUUGGAGAGGUAACGGCUCACCAAGGCAACGAUCAGUAGCCGACCUGAGAGGGUGACCGGCCACAUUGGGACUGAGACACGGCCCAAACUCCUACGGAAGGCAGCAG